AGGUUACAGAGGAUUCCCUCGGCCCCUACAGAGCCACUAGAGCCAGAACUGAAUCCCAUUCUGUGUGAUUCCAAAAACUGCUGCCCUGCUUCAGCCUGGGAAUUGAAACCAUCACUUAACUGACCCUGAUGUUGGCCAAAUCUUUUCUCUGACCUCAGGGGCUACAAAAAGAAGCUCCCUUUGUGAACUGUGUGGCCGUUACAUUUUGCGGUUACUUAUCUUCCUGGAACAUCUUGAAGCUGUCUCGCCUUGUGCAAACACCCUGCAGUAGUGACUGCACCACCCACGCCCCCGAAGAGAAACUUCCCGCCUGACUUCCCUAUCCCCAGCAUAUAAAUACCCCAGUGAGAACAGUAAAAAUUUGCAGCUUGAUCAGAACUCCUGUCUUGCUGUCACUCCUCAUGUCUCUUGUCCCUUCAUUCCUUCCCGCCUAGGUUUGCCACCCUCGUUGAUGUCCUGCAGGUCGGGACAUUUGGCGCCCAGCGUGUGCUCGAGCCUUUGACUGAGGGGGGAACGCCGUCCUCCGGGGAGACUUGGCCAAGCGGAGUUCGCGAUCGCCUCGGCAGACACCACUGAGAGACAGAUCCAGGAGGAGAGUGGGGACGUCGCAUGGACCGGACGGAGCCGGUGUGGGUUCCAGAACCCUGACAAGAAGAGUCCCGACAUCAAUCAACCAACAACAGGAGGCGCUGCAACAAUCUCAUGAUGAGGACCAUCCUUCUACUGAGUGUCCUGGUUUUAAUGCUGAUAUCGAUGGUACAGGGGAUAUCAAUGCAGUGGUGGGCGGUAGCUCGAACGUGGCCAAUGCCGAUGCCGGUUCAUAGCAAUUCUAGUGUUCUCCCC
This is a long non-coding RNA of Marmota flaviventris (yellow-bellied marmot), 843 nucleotides long. RefSeq lists it as uncharacterized. NCBI's taxonomy places the organism in Eukaryota, Metazoa, Chordata, Mammalia, Rodentia, Sciuridae. The record is from RefSeq and is a predicted model, not a curated record.